Molecule: ribosomal RNA, 445 nt
Filed under: uncultured bacterium
Lineage: Bacteria
Description: bacterial SSU rRNA
Rfam family: Bacterial small subunit ribosomal RNA
Source: RNAcentral
UCCAGACUCCUACGGGAGGCAGCAGUAGGGAAUCUUUCACAAUGGGCGAAAGCCUGAUGGAGCAACGCCGCGUGCAGGAUGAAGGCCUUCGGGUUGUAAACUGCUUUUAUAAGCGAGAAAUAUGAUGGUAACUUAUGAAUAAGGAUCGGCUAACUACGUGCCAGCAGCCGCGGUAAUACGUAGGGGGCGAGCGUUGUCCGGAAUUACUGGGCGUAAAGAGAGCGUAGGCGGCACUACAAGUCUCAUGUGAAAUACCCGGGCUUAACUUGGGGGUUGCAUGGGAAACUGUAGAGCUUGAGUACAGGAGAGGCAAGCGGAAUUCCUAGUGUAGCGGUGAAAUGCAUAGAUAUUAGGAGGAACACCAGUGGCGAAGGCGGCUUGCUGGACUGAAACUGACGCUGAGGCUCGAAAGCGUGGGGAGCAAACAGGAUUAGAUACCCCCGUA